This 1127-nucleotide long non-coding RNA is filed under the name Homo sapiens (human). RNAcentral describes it as "MIR9-1 host gene". The record is from RNAcentral. Lineage: Eukaryota; Metazoa; Chordata; Mammalia; Primates; Hominidae.
GGCAGUCCAGCCGCAGGGGCCACCCGAACAGUCUCUCCUCCUCACAGAAGCCUGGAGCUGGGCAUCCAAGAAGAAGCAGCCUCAUUUGUUUUCUGGUGUCAUCGUAGGUGGCCACCUAUGGCUUUUGGGCUUCUCACCUGGGGCGGGUGGGUUCUGCACCACCCUCCCACCCUCCUUCCUCCGUGUGGACGAUAGAGCCACAUCCAGCACCACGGACAGCUCCCGGGCGAUCCCAUGGGAGUAGAAGAGGUGUGAGCAGGUUGCCCAGCUGGUUAGCGGAAAUGCCAAGAUCCAGGCUCCUGAAUUUCAGCCUGGCCCUUUCUAUCUGUCUGAUACCUCCUUUACGAGUCUCUCUGCCUGCGUUGUGUGGAGCGGGCCUGCUGCUGGUUGGGGGAGUUUGCAGGUUGCCCCUAUGCAAAAAAGGACAGGAUGCAUGACUGGCAUCACUGGAAGCUGAGGGUUUUGACAGCGGCAGGCCACAUAGGCAAGGAAGCUGGUGCAUGCAGUGUCUCUGGGCAAGGUUAUGCAACCUUCAUCUCCUCGUCCUCCAGGCAGCACAAGCCAUUGUGGAAUCUCCACCAGGUGUACAGAACGGUGCCUCUGCGUCCUGCCACUCAGGACCUCUCAAGUCCCCGAUGUGAUGGCUCCUCAGCAUGAUCAGGAGAAAUUCCAUGAUCUUGCUUAUUCCUGUCUUGGGAAGUCCUUCUCCAUGUCUAACCAAGAUCUAUAUGGCUAUAGCACCAGCUCUUUGGCUCUUGGCUUGGCAUGGCUAAGUUGGGAGACCAAAAAGAAGAAUGUACUUCAUCUGGUUGGGCUGGAUUCCCUCUGAUAAGCCUUCCCAGUUGACUGAAAGAUGAGGCUAGGCUCUAGCAAGUUGAAGUCAAACCAGCUCCUUCAAGAAGCUUUGAGCAGAAUGAAGUGGGGAGGACCCAGCUUCCAGCCCAGGAAGCCCACUGUACCUGGAGCCAUCUGGGAUAAGACUUUGACCCAUGACUCCCAUAUCCACAGCCUGUCCAUCCUAGCCCAUCCCAGUUUAUCCUGUAUCAUUUGAGCUGGGAUUCCCACAUCCUCUGAGUUGGAAGUCCCAUCUCAAGUCUUCAAUAAAGACUCUUGAAUAUUGAAUCACA